GCGGGUUAAUUUAUCGGUUCCUGCUUCAGGAUAAUGAUUCUUAACGCCAGUAAUGGAUUAUUUAUCACGUGCGCCGUAAAACCCCGUCCUUCAGGGCGGGGAGGAUGUCAAUAAAACAGGCUC
This 123-nucleotide small RNA is filed under the name Scandinavium goeteborgense. RNAcentral's name for it is "HgcC family RNA". The record is from RNAcentral. Lineage: Bacteria; Pseudomonadati; Pseudomonadota; Gammaproteobacteria; Enterobacterales; Enterobacteriaceae.